GGGAGUAAGUAAAUAAAUAAAUAAAUAACGAAACGACAAAAAAAAGUUAUUUUAAAAAAAAAAAAUAAAAGUUCAAUACAAAUAAAUGGAUUUCAACAAACUUGAAUUGCACUUAAAAAAACAAAAACUAAAAAAAAACAGAUUCUUUGUGGAAAUUCCUAUAUGUUUUUGGUGUGACUCGUAUAUAUAUAUUAUAUAUAUCAGUGUGCACAGUAGAAUUAUUAUUAUGUUUUCCAUAGCUCACAAAGGCAGGCCAUCUGUGCAAAUUAUUUCUAUAUUGAGUGAAGAAGCGCGUUUUAACGAGACUGUAAAUCAGCCCGGAUUGAUGGAACACAUUCCUUAGUGAUUGAGCCCUGCUAUUUCCCAUGUAGAUUAUCACUAGACUUUUUUCCCUCAUUCCUCAGAGCAGAGGGGAGGUCCUGUUACAGCUUUCAUUCUGUGUUUUGUUUGUGUCUCAUCAGACGCACCUGUUUCUUAUGGUUCGGGGUCAGCGUUCGUUUUAUUUUGUAUUUUUUUUUUAAUUUCCCGUUCGCUUGCGAGACGCGAUUUGCGGAUCCUUUUUAAUUUGAUUUUGUUGGGGUUUUUUUUUUUUUGGACGGGCCGAGUGAGAUUUCUCCAGUUUCUAUUCCUGUAAUACAGCUAUUCAAAAUCGCGCCAGAAAAGCCAGUGCUUUUUAUAGCGUUGGGCAGAUGCGUGCUGUUUAAAAAAAAAAAAAAAAAAAAAAAAAAAAAUCAAAAAUCAAAGUGUUGCUGUUAUUGUUGAUAACGAUGCUAAUAAUUUUGUUUUAUAAAGGAGAAAAAAAGUAUUUGAACUUAAACAGCACUUUUGGUGGACUUCAUAAACUCUCCACUUUGUGCAUUUUAAAACAUUGAAUGUAUUCUUUAUAUGGAGGGGGCUGUGAUUCUUCGACAAGUCGAGGAGGAGGGGGAGGAGAGAAAGAGAUGAGGCUUGUUUUAAAAAAAAAAAAAAAAAAAAAAAAACUUUGAAGAACACUGCCUCCCUUAUCCGCUAGGUGGCGCUCUUGAAUUCCCAAAAGGAGUCUCGGUUUACAGACAGAUCGAUGGAAUCAGAAACUUUUCAGGACAGGAAAGUUUUGGAUGUUUUUUUUUUUUUUUUUUUUUCCCUGUUUCUACUAUGUGACAAUGGAAGCCUAUUUAAGAUAUAUAUUGUGACAGGUUUCAUACAAGUGUGACAAUUUUUUGUUUACUGAUCUUAAAUAUGACUUUUUUUUUUUUAUAAUAAUUUUUGUUCAUUGAUUUUUGAGCUGCCGUUUGGACAAAAAAAUGUUAAAAAAAGAAAAAAUGAAUUCAGAAGAACGAUCGAGAGAAAACAAGGGUUUCUCCUUCUUUGCUUUAAACAAAUGAGGUAAAAAGGAACUACAAAAAAUAAGGAAUAUGUUUCAGAACGCUGUACGCAAACAUAAAAACAGCUUUCAGGCACUUUUCUAAUAACUGGGGGGACCCUUUCUGAUUUUAUUGUUGACGCUACAUUUUGGAUAACCCUUUUCCUCCUGGUUUGAGAAACUCCUCUUCAACAAAGAAAACAAACACACUUAUAAAGUCUCUUCGCCUCGGAGGGGUUCUUCUUCGCUGAGGUUGUCAAAACCUGUCAUGAAGGAAAUUCUGUGAUUUUUUUUUUUUUUUUUUUUUCAAUGAAUGUCAAAGGAGGCCUUUUAAACCUUGGACGUCGACCUGCUUUUUCUCAACCUGGUGGGGCGAGAGAGACUGUGAAUUGCGAUGCUCAGUUCAGCGUGCAGGAUUUGUAUAAAGAAAAUAUGGUGAACCUUUUUUUUUAUUUUUAUUUUAUUUUUUUAAACUGCUGACCUCUUCUGGUUCAUUGUGAGGCGGGAUUACCGUUUUAUUCUGGGAAGAAAGGAGAGAUUUUAUUUUAUUUUUUUUUUCCCCCCCAGAAGAGGCCACGUCUUAAAUUUAAGGAUUUAAAGAACACAAAAUAUACACGCUCACGCAGUUGUAUAAAGAGCUUCGUUGACAAGACAGCGCCGUGAGUUCACAACAUAUCUUCAGACCCACAAGCAAGACCACGACCCUCGAAAGGCAGAGUGCGGGGUGGGGGUGGGGCUAGCAGGAGUGGUAUGCUCACUGUGUAGGGUCAUUUUAUUUUUAAACAUAUGCAAGGAUUUAAUUUUUUUUUUUUUUUGGUGACCCUCCUCCUUUUUCCCUGGUUUAAAGGCACGAAACGUUUGGAGUUUUUUUUUUUUUCCAGUUCUUUUAGCAAAGGCAGCUUUUCAUUGUGGAAUAUUUCACCAUGCUUUUUUUUUAAUGUGUUGACUUGAAAUGCGGAUGCAGACUUGAAUACCACAGGCUCAAACUGAUAAUCAAGCUGAGCUCCUGUCUGACCCUGAAUAUUCAUGGACGCGCUGUCCUUGAGCGUGUGGUCGAGACCGGCAGCUGUUAUGUAUUCAGUGUGCUAGCUGUGCUUCAGCCUGCUUGCCUGGUUUCAGAAGCAAAAGGACUGUAACUCAUGCUGAAAGUUUGCAAUGUAAAUAAUGUAUUAAAUAUUGCCUUAACUGUACAAAUACGACCUGCGGUGCAAUUUUUAUUUUUUUUUGGAACAAACGAGACGGAUCGUACUGUGUUUUCAGAGAGGUGACGGGGAGAAACCCGGGUUUGAGAACGACUGCAUCUCCCCUCUCCUCCCAUGCGAAAAAAUAAAAAAUAAAUAAGGAAAUCUGUGGACUGGAAGGCAUACAUGUGCCCCAGCGCCUGUGUGUAGCCCAACAGCGAACUAAAAAAAAAAAAAGACUGUUGCAUGCUUUCUGGCAAACCACUCUGAAGACAAACCCAGAAACGUGUUGCUGGGAUGCUGUGGGACAUGAAAUUGACAAAUAGUUAUUAUUUUUCACUGUCGGGAGUUCUGCCAACGUCCUGCAAGUGAUUGUUCUGGUUUUAUUCUUGUUCUGCUUUAUAGAUAGGGCUUUGGUACAGCACUGUGGGCAAGGCACAGCACCACGCAUGUGCGGAUAGCUCAGCUGCUUGGAGGUGGGGGGACAAUAUCAAUCAUUUAAGUCCCCCCCCGACCAUUAGUUGCCAUCCUGCCUUUCUUUGGUGUGGGAAGCAUUUUAAUGAGAGGUGUGUAGAGAUCGCUGGAGGAGCCACCUUCACGAGGGGGUCGUAGUGCCCCUGGGUUGCAGGCUGGACGCUGUCUGCUGUUUUUAAAGAAGUCAGAGAAGCAAGCGCAAAAAGAGGGGGUGUGCAAGCCUGCUGCCCGUCCGCUGUGGUGCCGUGCCUCUGCCUGCAGGGGGAAUCAGAACGUGGAUUCUGGAGAUUACAGCAGAGGGUAGAUUGAGGGAGUUUUUUUUGUUGGAAUACUUUCCCCACAGAAUCUUGAUCCCUUUUAAUGUAUAAGGGGCUGUUUCCCCCGCCACCAACAAUACAGAUGAUCCUAACCUUAUUCUAGAGAUGAGGUGGCCGAAACAGGGUUGAAAUUGAUAUAUUGUAAGGAUAAAGAAACCGGUUCCAUUGCUCAGCUUCGAGUGUUAGUCUGGUGGAGGGGGGUGGGGGUUUGAAGCAUCUGAAAUGUUUGUCAGGUUCUGUAUUGAGUGUGAAAUUGAAAUAUAUUUUGAAGUUGGACUGUGUGUGGUUUUAUCCGCAUUUUUAUUGUUUGCAGCAUUUUAUUGAGAGCCAGCUCAAUCUGUUGUGUUUCGGGGUGUGGAAGUAGGGUUGGGGGGUAAGUUUUAAAAACAAACAAACAAAAAAGAAUACAUUUAGGAAAUUAUACAACCGAGAGAGAGAAGAAAAAAAAAAAGCAGGGUAGAUUUAAUUUUUCUGUUUCCAAAAUGCAAUAUGUAUUUAAAAAAAAAAAAAAAAAAAAAAAAACACUAACGCUACUUAAUUUGGGGUGAAAUAUUGCAAAACGAAUUUUAAACGUUUAUUACUUUAAACGUUCUACUUGUAUACCUGUAAAUAGGGGUGUGUGUGUGUGUUCAAGCAUAGUACUUGCAAGCGUCUCCAUUUAAUCUUGUGUAAAGUCACGCUGAAAUACAGAGUUCAGUUUUGCAUGUAUAUAAACCCGACCCAACCACAGAGACUCUGCAAAAGCUUAAAGGCGGGGGAACGCAGAGCGGCUCUCUGGGGUGGAACGCGGGUUCAGGAGACCGGGUUUCAGUCCAGGGCGCCCCGCACCAAGCGGGGAGACUCGGGGCCCGGUUUGAAGCAGCAAACCUCAAACUGGGUCUCCUGGAACUAGGCUUCAAAGCGCUGCUCCCUGAAGAAGUGGCUUCACGUUCAACUCUGCUUUUAGGUAACAUUUGCAGAAUCUGAAACACAAUAAAGCAGUCAGAUAUAUUUUAAUGUUUUGGUUUUUUUUUUUUUUUGAGAGUUAAACUAAGAAAUAUAAAUAAAUAAAUACAAAAGAAAAACACCCUCACAGCUCUAUAUUUAAGGUGUGAAAUACAGCCACAAAUAGGGUUAUGUUUUAACGAGGCGCUAAUGCUGUGCCAGAUUUCUGUUUUUUUUCAAAUGUGUCAAGUUCAUGAGUUCAGUUCAGUUUGCUAACAAUAGCGCUGCAAUAAAAGCUCUCUGAUGUUGAA
Molecule: long non-coding RNA, 4549 nt
Organism: Polyodon spathula (Mississippi paddlefish)
Lineage: Eukaryota; Metazoa; Chordata; Actinopteri; Acipenseriformes; Polyodontidae
Exons: 2
Source: RefSeq, a predicted model, not a curated record